RNAcentral lists this ribosomal RNA (2772 nucleotides) under Yersinia enterocolitica. RNAcentral's name for it is "bacterial LSU rRNA". It matches the Rfam family "Bacterial large subunit ribosomal RNA". The record is from RNAcentral. Lineage: Bacteria; Pseudomonadati; Pseudomonadota; Gammaproteobacteria; Enterobacterales; Yersiniaceae.
CCCCCAGUAGCGGCGAGCGAACGGGGAGGAGCCCAGAACCUGAAUCAGCGUAUGUGUUAGUGGAAGCGUCUGGAAAGUCGCACGGUACAGGGUGAUAGUCCCGUACACAAAAAUGCAUAUGUUGUGAGUUCGAUGAGUAGGGCGGGACACGUGACAUCCUGUCUGAAUAUGGGGGGACCAUCCUCCAAGGCUAAAUACUCCUGACUGACCGAUAGUGAACCAGUACCGUGAGGGAAAGGCGAAAAGAACCCCGGCGAGGGGAGUGAAACAGAACCUGAAACCGUGUACGUACAAGCAGUGGGAGCACCUUCGUGGUGUGACUGCGUACCUUUUGUAUAAUGGGUCAGCGACUUAUAUUUUGUAGCAAGGUUAACCGAAUAGGGGAGCCGUAGGGAAACCGAGUCUUAACUGGGCGAAUAGUUGCAAGGUAUAGACCCGAAACCCGGUGAUCUAGCCAUGGGCAGGUUGAAGGUUGGGUAACACUAACUGGAGGACCGAACCGACUAAUGUUGAAAAAUUAGCGGAUGACUUGUGGCUGGGGGUGAAAGGCCAAUCAAACCGGGAGAUAGCUGGUUCUCCCCGAAAGCUAUUUAGGUAGCGCCUCGUGAACUCAUCUUCGGGGGUAGAGCACUGUUUCGGCUAGGGGGUCAUCCCGACUUACCAAACCGAUGCAAACUCCGAAUACCGAAGAAUGUUAUCACGGGAGACACACGGCGGGUGCUAACGUCCGUCGUGAAGAGGGAAACAACCCAGACCGCCAGCUAAGGUCCCAAAGUCAUGGUUAAGUGGGAAACGAUGUGGGAAGGCACAGACAGCCAGGAUGUUGGCUUAGAAGCAGCCAUCAUUUAAAGAAAGCGUAAUAGCUCACUGGUCGAGUCGGCCUGCGCGGAAGAUGUAACGGGGCUAAACCAUGCACCGAAGCUGCGGCAGCGAACGUAUCACUUAAAACGCUUAACGUGACGGAAAAGCCGGCAUUUUCAAGCCACACUAAACGUUGAGUUGGCCGAUGUGCUGACAAACGAACAGGCGUUUUAAGGAUACGUUCGUUGGGUAGGGGAGCGUUCUGUAAGCCGUUGAAGGUGAUCUGUGAGGGUUGCUGGAGGUAUCAGAAGUGCGAAUGCUGACAUAAGUAACGAUAAUGCGGGUGAAAAACCCGCACGCCGGAAGACCAAGGGUUCCUGUCCAACGUUAAUCGGGGCAGGGUGAGUCGACCCCUAAGGCGAGGCUGAAAAGCGUAGUCGAUGGGAAACAGGUUAAUAUUCCUGUACUUGGUGUUACUGCGAAGGGGGGACGGAGAAGGCUAGGCUAGCCGGGCGACGGUUGUCCCGGUUUAAGCAUGUAGGCGGAGUGACCAGGUAAAUCCGGUUGCUUAUCAACGCUGAGGUGUGAUGACGAUGCACUACGGUGCAGAAGUAGUUGAUGCCAUGCUUCCAGGAAAAGCCUCUAAGCAUCAGGUAACAUGAAAUCGUACCCCAAACCGACACAGGUGGUCAGGUAGAGAAUACUCAGGCGCUUGAGAGAACUCGGGUGAAGGAACUAGGCAAAAUGGUGCCGUAACUUCGGGAGAAGGCACGCUGGCAUUAGGUAAAGGGACUUGCUCCCGGCGCCGAAGCCAGUCGCAGAUACCAGCUGGCUGCAACUGUUUAAUAAAAACACAGCACUGUGCAAACACGAAAGUGGACGUAUACGGUGUGACGCCUGCCCGGUGCUGGAAGGUUAAUUGAUGGGGUCAGCCGCAAGGCGAAGCUCUUGAUCGAAGCCCCAGUAAACGGCGGCCGUAACUAUAACGGUCCUAAGGUAGCGAAAUUCCUUGUCGGGUAAGUUCCGACCUGCACGAAUGGCGUAAUGAUGGCCAGGCUGUCUCCACCCGAGACUCAGUGAAAUUGAACUCGCUGUGAAGAUGCAGUGUACCCGCGGCAAGACGGAAAGACCCCGUGAACCUUUACUAUAGCUUGACACUGAACAUUGAGCCUUGAUGUGUAGGAUAGGUGGGAGGCAUAGAAGUGUGGACGCCAGUCUGCAUGGAGCCAACCUUGAAAUACCACCCUUUAAUGUUUGAUGUUCUAACUCGGCCCCGUAAUCCGGGGUGAGGACAGUGUCUGGUGGGUAGUUUGACUGGGGCGGUCUCCUCCCAAAGAGUAACGGAGGAGCACGAAGGUUAGCUAAUCACGGUCGGACAUCGUGAGGUUAGUGCAAAGGCAUAAGCUAGCUUGACUGCGAGAGUGACGGCUCGAGCAGGUACGAAAGUAGGUCUUAGUGAUCCGGUGGUUCUGAAUGGAAGGGCCAUCGCUCAACGGAUAAAAGGUACUCCGGGGAUAACAGGCUGAUACCGCCCAAGAGUUCAUAUCGACGGCGGUGUUUGGCACCUCGAUGUCGGCUCAUCACAUCCUGGGGCUGAAGUAGGUCCCAAGGGUAUGGCUGUUCGCCAUUUAAAGUGGUACGCGAGCUGGGUUUAGAACGUCGUGAGACAGUUCGGUCCCUAUCUGCCGUGGGCGUUGGAAGAUUGAGAGGGGCUGCUCCUAGUACGAGAGGACCGGAGUGGACGAAUCACUGGUGUUCGGGUUGUCAUGCCAAUGGCAUUGCCCGGUAGCUAAAUUCGGAAGAGAUAACCGCUGAAAGCAUCUAAGCGGGAAACUUGCCUCGAGAUGAGUCUUCCCUGGGGCUUUAAGCCCCCUGAAGGAACGUUAAAGACGAUGACGUUGAUAGGCUGGGUGUGUAAGUGCAGCGAUGCAUUGAGCUAACCAGUACUAAUGAACCGUGAGGCUUAACCUU